GAUGAACGCUGGCGGCGUGCCUAAUACAUGCAAGUCGAGCGAACAGACGAGGAGCUUGCUCCUCUGACGUUAGCGGCGGACGGGUGAGUAACACGUGGAUAACCUACCUAUAAGACUGGGAUAACUUCGGGAAACCGGAGCUAAUACCGGAUAAUAUAUUGAACCGCAUGGUUCAAUAGUGAAAGACGGUUUUGCUGUCACUUAUAGAUGGAUCCGCGCCGGAUUAGCUAGUUGGUAAGGUAACGGCUUACCAAGGCGACGAUGCGUAGCCGACCUGAGAGGGUGAUCGGCCACACUGGAACUGAGACACGGUCCAGACUCCUACGGGAGGCAGCAGUAGGGAAUCUUCCGCAAUGGGCGAAAGCCUGACGGAGCAACGCCGCGUGAGUGAUGAAGGUCUUCGGAUCGUAAAGCUCUGUUAUUAGGGAAGAACAACUGUGUAAGUAACUAUGCACGUCUUGACGGUACCUAAUCAGAAAGCCACGGCUAACUACGUG
This 497-nucleotide ribosomal RNA is filed under the name uncultured bacterium. Its description in RNAcentral is "partial 16S ribosomal RNA". It matches the Rfam family "Bacterial small subunit ribosomal RNA", at positions 28 to 507 of the family's 1533-position model. The record is from RNAcentral.